CAGCCGCCACGGGAAUACGAAGGGUGCAAGCGUUACUCGGAGUUACUGGGCGUAAAGCGUGCGUAGGUGGUUGUUUAAGUCUGCUGUGAAAGCCCUGGGCUCAACCUGGGAAUUGCAGUGGAUACUGGGCAACUAGAGUAAGGUAGAGGAUAGUGGAAUUUCCGGUGUAGCAGUGAAAUGCGUAGAGAUCGGAAGGAACAUCCGUGGCGAAGGCGACUAUCUGGGCCAUUACUGACACUGAGGCACGAAAGCGUGGGGAGCAAACAGGAUUAGAUACCCGCGUAGUCCCUGUCUCUUAUAA
RNAcentral lists this ribosomal RNA (301 nucleotides) under uncultured bacterium. RNAcentral's name for it is "partial 16S ribosomal RNA". It matches the Rfam family "Bacterial small subunit ribosomal RNA", at positions 509 to 809 of the family's 1533-position model. The record is from RNAcentral.